This is a non-coding RNA of Hypoxylon sp. FL1284, 84 nucleotides long. The record is from the annotation of a GenBank genome assembly. Lineage: Eukaryota; Fungi; Ascomycota; Sordariomycetes; Xylariales; Hypoxylaceae.
UGCCCAUUGGCCCAGUGGUUAAGGCGUCUGACUGUUAGCAAACACGAAAUCAGAAGAUCCCUGGUUCGACCCCAGGAUGGGCAG